UCCAUCAUCUUCAGGGCCAAACAGAGGCUGUGGGUUGAGCGUGAAGGCAGUUUUGGGCCCACAGGCUAACAAAACAAUGGACCUUUGGAACAACCCAGGUGGAAUUCCAAGCCCCAUGUUCUCUCCAAGGGGUGCCGCAUAAGCAGGAAACAAGCCAGCCAGAGCUGUUAUGAUGCUUUUAACACCACUUUAAUCUUCAGAAAGGCAAUCUUCAGAAUGGCUGAAGUUUCCAGAGGAACGCCAGGAAAAUGUGACUAGAUGAAACACGCACACACAUGGGACUAAUCUUUACCCCCUUGUGGAUGACUUCUCAAAUCAGGGCAAAUGUUUACCUCUAUUUGAAAUGGGACAGGAAGGAGGACCUGGGUAUUCCCCACCAGCAAGUCAUGGAAAAGACCCAACCCUUUCUUAUUUGAGAACCCUUUUCUUUCACUGGCUGUUGCAUAGCAGCAUUCCCCACCCCCCUUAUUCCAAGUUGGUGAUCUGCUGCCAAUGGCAUGAAGCCCCACCGUUGACUCCAGGGUUGGAAAGCAGGAAGAACAGCCAAGUUCUCCGAUUGCCCCAUUGGGGGCUGUAUUUGAAGUGAACUGAAACAACGCUUAAUAAGACUUUGCCGUGAUGCUUGUUUAUAGCUCUUAAGAGGCCCCUGGGAGGAGAAGAAUCCAUAUCUUUGUAAUCAUGACAUAAAAUCCAUAAUGGCUUCUAGGUUUGUCCAGAGUGCAGAGGGUGAGGCUGACUCCAAACACAUGCUGCUGUUGCUCCUUCUCUCUUGUGGAUGAGCCCAAGUGUCCGAAGAACUGUUCUGUAGCCUGAGUCGCCAGAUGGCGCACACACGCUAUUGCUAUCGGCUCUUGCUAUGGAGGAGACCUGGGAUCUUGGAAGAAACAGCAUCGUGGUGCUGCUGUGGUGGUUUGGUUCAGCUUUGUUGGGGAAACUGAAGAAGGCAAGAGGACUUGGCCUCAAGAGGGUUGGUUCUCCAAGUUGCUUGGGAGACCAAUCCAAGGGAUUUUUGGAAAUGAAAAUGGGCACAGCUGGGCAUCAGUUGCUGAAUGAUUAUAAUUGAAAUGGAGCCAUGUGGGAAAGGACCUGGCUGGCAAUGCCAUUAAUUCUAAUGCAGUUGAUGGGCACCUUGUUGGGAAGGGCAGGUCUAUAUCCCCACAUGCUGCAGAUGCACUAUUGGGGCGUUGAUUUUUUGUAAUGUUUUGAUUGCAUUUGAUAUGUGGAGCAAGUAUUUUUGGUAUAAGUAGGUUCCUUCAGAAAAGGUGACCAUGUAUAUUGGCAACUCCCCCACCCCCUUGUAUGUGCUUUCAACUUACAUGGUUAUAGUAUGUGCAUUAUCCAAUAAUGUGUUUGAGAUUCCACCUACAUAACUAGUUUACCAGGGGCCUACAGUGUACUGAGCUAUGGUUCAAAAAAUGAUGGUUGGUUGAAUAACCUAUGAUUGUCUGGAUUCACCUUAUCCUAAGCCAUAAAAACCAAGAUUAACAAGGAACAGUAGCUAACAUAAAAUGCUAAACCAAAGUAAGUCGCACGAUGGCUUGGCACAAGGAGUGAACUAUAUGAACAUUAGCUUGUAAACAUGACUGUUCCAGCUCAUUUAUGGAUGACGAUGAUGACGAUAACGAUACGUUAAACGACACCAAGUCAGUUCUCCUGCCUGUCUCUUGCUGACUGCUCACCCCCAUCUAAAUCUCAGCCUUGUGCAUUGUGUCUCUUGUUUUUUUCCUGGAGAUGGGUGACUCUUGUGAAACUUUUUUUCUGAAAUGACAAUGUGGAAGCCGAUAUUACAUGAGUGACUUGUAAAUCAGAAAAGCGCUUAAGAAAACAUUAAACUUCGUUUU
Molecule: non-coding RNA, 1841 nt
Organism: Python bivittatus (Burmese python)
Lineage: Eukaryota; Metazoa; Chordata; Lepidosauria; Squamata; Pythonidae
Source: RefSeq, a predicted model, not a curated record